Molecule: signal recognition particle RNA, 275 nt
Filed under: Dasypus novemcinctus (nine-banded armadillo)
Lineage: Eukaryota; Metazoa; Chordata; Mammalia; Cingulata; Dasypodidae
Description: Metazoan signal recognition particle RNA (ENSDNOG00000039940.1)
Rfam family: Metazoan signal recognition particle RNA (bases 45-257)
About the family: The signal recognition particle (SRP) is a universally conserved ribonucleoprotein. It is involved in the co-translational targeting of proteins to membranes.
Source: RNAcentral
GCUUUAAAAAAAAAAAAAAAAGACAGACCGAGCCCGGUGUGGCGGUGCUCAGGAAUUCUGAGCUGCAGUGCGCUGUGCUGACCAGGUGUCUGCACUAAGUGUGGCAUCAGUAUGGGGACCUCCUGGAGCAUGGGACCAGCAUGUUGCCUAAGAGGGAUGAACCAACCCACUCAGAAAUGGUGCAGGUCAAAACUCCUGUGCUGAUCAGUAGUGGAAUUGCGCCUGGGAAUAGUCAUUGCUUUCCAGCCGGGGCUACAUAGUGAGACUCUGUCUCU